Molecule: transfer RNA, 76 nt
Filed under: Nitrospinota bacterium
Lineage: Bacteria; Pseudomonadati; Nitrospinota
Also listed under: 2 other names
Description: tRNA-Arg
Rfam family: tRNA
About the family: Transfer RNA (tRNA) molecules are approximately 80 nucleotides in length. Their secondary structure includes four short double-helical elements and three loops (D, anti-codon, and T loops).
Source: RNAcentral
GCGCCCGUAGCUCAAUGGAUAGAGCAUCGGACUUCGGAUCCGAGGGUUGGGGGUUCGACUCCCUCCGGGCGCGCCA